Long non-coding RNA from Nycticebus coucang (slow loris), 375 nucleotides. RefSeq lists it as uncharacterized. NCBI's taxonomy places the organism in Eukaryota, Metazoa, Chordata, Mammalia, Primates, Lorisidae. The transcript is spliced from 3 exons. The record is from RefSeq and is a predicted model, not a curated record.
GCUGGCUCUCGGGGUCUGAGCGCGGCCAGCGCGCGGGCGCUGGCGGGCUCUCGUCCUCGAAGGCCAAGCGGCAGAGAGACGGCCCGACGGCGGUGGCUGCGGCAGCUGGGGGCGCGGGCGGCGACGGGAAGCCAGGAUCCCGGAGAGCCAAAGGCGCUCCAACAUCUCGAUCUCAUCUGAGGGAGAGAGAUCAGAGGUCACCUGCCAUAAGUACCCUCUGAAGAUCCUCCCUUCUGAUAAAGCCCUGCGCACAGCCGCACCGUCCCCCAGGAACUGCAGCAGCGCCAGGUCGAUGGGCCGCUUCCAGCGGGAGCCCUUGUGCAGGGCGAUGCCAUAGCCUGUCGUGGCAAAGACCUUGCCGGAGCCGAUGGUAAC